UACAUAUAAACAUUACUCAAUGGACAAGGAGGCUUUACAAUUAAUAACAAAUCUAAUGACAGACAAUCGUAUAUUGAAUUGGACCUCAUUGGAAAUGGGCUGGACUCCAACCUAAUGGCCGUUCCUGAUGCUCGUGAUGUAGACAAAGAAGCCUCAACUAUGAGGAAAGAAUGCCCAGACUGAAAGGGCCACAGAACUUACCAAUUUUUCAUAUAUAGCCACAAAUUGUGUCACUCAUCAAGCUUCUGGAUAUAAAAUUAAUUAAAAUAAAGUGUGAAUUUUCUUUUUAAAAUAUUUUCCUCUGCGAAAAUCUCAAAAAUAUUGUUAGCUAUAGAUAUUAGAUAUAGACCUAAGUAUAUAAAUAUAAAAUGUA
Anneissia japonica is the source of this 373-nucleotide long non-coding RNA. RefSeq lists it as uncharacterized. Lineage: Eukaryota; Metazoa; Echinodermata; Crinoidea; Comatulida; Comatulidae. The transcript has 3 exons. The record is from RefSeq and is a predicted model, not a curated record.